AGAGUUUGAUCCUGGCUCAGAGUGAACGCUGGCGGUAGGCCUAACACAUGCAAGUCGAACGGCAGCACAGGAGAGCUUGCUCUCUGGGUGGCGAGUGGCGGACGGGUGAGGAAUACAUCGGAAUCUACUCUGUCGUGGGGGAUAACGUAGGGAAACUUACGCUAAUACCGCAUACGACCUACGGGUGAAAGCAGGGGACCUUCGGGCCUCGCGCGACUGAAUGAGCCGAUGUCGGAUUAGCUAGUUGGCGGGGUAAAGGCCCACCAAGGCGACGAUCCGUAGCUGGUCUGAGAGGAUGAUCAGCCACACUGGAACUGAGACACGGUCCAGACUCCUACGGGAGGCAGCAGUGGGGAAUAUUGGACAAUGGGCGCAAGCCUGAUCCAGCCAUACCGCGUGGGUGAAGAAGGCCUUCGGGUUGUAAAGCCCUUUUGUUGGGAAAGAAAUCCAGCUGGCUAAUACCCGGUUGGGAUGACGGUACCCAAAGAAUAAGCACCGGCUAACUUCGUGCCAGCAGCCGCGGUAAUACGAAGGGUGCAAGCGUUACUCGGAAUUACUGGGCGUAAAGCGUGCGUAGGUGGUCGUUUAAGUCCGUUGUGAAAGCCCUGGGCUCAACCUGGGAACUGCAGUGGAUACUGGAUGACUAGAAUGUGGUAGAGGGUAGCGGAAUUCCUGGUGUAGCAGUGAAAUGCGUAGAGAUC
This 701-nucleotide ribosomal RNA is filed under the name Stenotrophomonas sp. U22A. RNAcentral's name for it is "bacterial SSU rRNA". It matches the Rfam family "Bacterial small subunit ribosomal RNA", at positions 8 to 698 of the family's 1533-position model. The record is from RNAcentral. Lineage: Bacteria; Pseudomonadati; Pseudomonadota; Gammaproteobacteria; Lysobacterales; Lysobacteraceae.